AGAGAGAAGAGAUCUAUUGUGAUGAUAGCCGUAAAUAUGCAAAAAGAUUACUUUGCUGAAAAGUUGAAAGUACAUUGUGUAUGAUUGUUGACUAUCCAAUCACCUCCACACUCCACAAAACCCUAAUACUAAUUAUUGUUUUUCUCAGAUCUGAAGCCAUUGAUUCAGCUCGUGAGAUCAAAAUUGGUGUGUGUGGUGCAGUGAGGAGAUGGGGAAGGGGAGUUUGCAGAGUCAUGACAGAAGAGAGUGAGCACACGCAGGCAUUUCUAUAAUCAGUAUAUAUAUUUGUUUAGACGUGUGCUCACUUCUCUUUCUGUCAUAAAACUUUCCACUCCCACUUUUUUCCAUCAUUACUACUUUCACUGCACCACCUAUUUCAAGAUUGGCCUCUUUCUGUGUGUUUAUUCAUUAAUUCAAGAGAUAAUUAUCAAGGGAAAUAGGCAGAACAUCUCAAGUGUCACACGCCUCACUCUGCAAAACACACCUACACACAGUGAGAUUUUUUUUUAGAAGAACAUUUUCGCAAAAUGUAUAUGAAAGUUUGAAUCUUGAAACCCUCUUAGCUCUAUCUCAUGUAAAUUGUCUUUUCAAGUUAUCUUUUUUGUAUAAUUAAUUCAUGUGGAAGCAAAUUUCGUUGAUCUAGUUAUGACUUAGAUUACAAAUUGAAAAUAAAAGUUUGAAUCUUGAUGAAGCCCUCUUAACUAGGUUUAUCUAAUGUAUAUCGUUUAUUCAAAUUAUCUUUUUCACUGUUGUUUUGUUCUCUCUUUUAUGUUGGAGGAAAUUUCUGAUCAUAUGUAUCAAAUCAUGAAAAUAAAUUGUAGAUCUUGAAACCCUUUUUACUACCUCUAUGUAUAUGUUUCUUCAAAUCAUCUUUUUGACAAUUUUUUUUUUUUGUAUUUUUAUGUGGAAGAAAAUGAAAUUAAAGCCUGAAUUUUUUUUUUUUUUUUUAUUAGCAAAGUCUUGAAUCUUAAUACAAGUAGUAGUAGUAUAUAAUUAAUUAUUGUAGGAUAGAGGUUAUGCAGUGAUUAGAUUGCUACUACUUUCAUUUUUAAAAAAAAAUUUAUACUCAGAGGCGUGACUUUUGAUGUUGUCAUUGUUGGAGUUGAAGAUUUGGUAAGGUACGCCUGGCCACUGUUCUGAAAUAACGGCAAAGUGUUUGUUGGUUUCAUUUGAGCCAUACUCAUUUUCCUCAUUAAAAUACUUUAUCAACAAAAAAAUCAACAUUUAUGCCAUACCCAAGUUCAAAUUAAUUCUUAGAGAGCAAUAUCUGGAUUUUUUUGGCUUUUAGAUUUAGAAAAAUUGAUUCUUUUGUAUCUUCGCCUCUACAGAAAAUAUGGGAUUUGUGAUUACAUUACCAUAUUUUAUGUGAUUUGUUCGUUCCAACCACAUUGGUUUUCUGGGUUUGUUUCUCUCUUGAAAUUGGUUAUGGUAACCACUCCUUUCCUAUGAAGCUUGGGUGCAGCCCAGAAAAAUAAAAGGUUUUUUUAGUACUCCAUUUCAUAUGUGAAGCUGAUGCGCAUAGAAUUAUGGGUGUCAUCAAGAAUGAAAAUUUUUCUUACACAGCCCUUGUUGCUGGAGGCUGAAAGUUGAUUUUCCAGUGCGAUGCUUGACUGAAUAGAUUAUGAUGGAAGAAUCAAGUGGUAAUACCAAAGAUCUGUUUGGUGAAAUCUCUGAUUCCAACAGCUGCAGUGUAAUCGGUGUGGCAUCCUUGCACGACCCAAGGGCCUCUGGCUAGGUUGAGGUUUCUCUUCGAGAAGAAGCUCACGCCUAGAGACGCUGGCAAGCUCAGUUGGCUUGUCAUUCCCAAGAAGUUUGCUGUCCUAAAAUCCUUCCCUGUCAGGUUUGUGAUCAAGGGAUAGGAUUAUUUUAUCUUCUUAUGAAGAGAAAUACUAUUGGUGUUGAUGGAGAUGAAGGCAGUAGAUGUCAUUGAGAGAAUGGAUACUGACAAUGUACAAGUGAAGGAAUAUGUACUUUCUCUUUGGUGUAAAGGCCUUAAACUAUUUGGCGUCGAAAUUGUGUAGUCGACAGCAAAGUUGGUUAAGUUGCCCUUUUCAUUCUUAUUAUUUUCCUAAUUGCAAUUAUAUAUUUUGAUUUGGAAUAAAGGCUUGAUUGUAAGACUCCA
This is a long non-coding RNA of Salvia hispanica, 2122 nucleotides long. RefSeq lists it as uncharacterized. The record is from RefSeq and is a predicted model, not a curated record. Lineage: Eukaryota; Viridiplantae; Streptophyta; Magnoliopsida; Lamiales; Lamiaceae.